UACGCAACCUUCCCGAAACAGGUGAAUAGCCCUCCGAAAGGAGGAUUAAUACACCGUAAGAUAUAGAGAUGGCAUCAUUUUUAUAUUAUAGGCCGCAAGGCUGGUUUUGGAUGGGCGUGCGCCUGAUUAGGUAGUUGGUGUAGGUAACGGCUCACCAAGCCUUCGAUCAGUAACUGGUGUGAGAGCACGACCAGUCACACGGGCACUGAGACACGGGCCCG
RNAcentral lists this ribosomal RNA (221 nucleotides) under uncultured bacterium. RNAcentral's name for it is "partial 16S ribosomal RNA". It matches the Rfam family "Bacterial small subunit ribosomal RNA", at positions 118 to 334 of the family's 1533-position model. The record is from RNAcentral.